RNAcentral lists this unclassified non-coding RNA (271 nucleotides) under Hevea brasiliensis (rubber tree). The record is from RNAcentral. Lineage: Eukaryota; Viridiplantae; Streptophyta; Magnoliopsida; Malpighiales; Euphorbiaceae.
GUCAAUGCAUAUAAGUUCAACCUUUAGAGCGUUGCUAAUAUAGUUUUCGACAAUCAAGUAAAAGAUUUAGACGUCUUGCUACUGUUGGCGCGGAUAGGGCAAAGAAGUUUUUCCAGUUUCAAAGCGAGGAACGCGCUACCAUCCCUACAGGCAUGAACUCUACAACGAGGGCAGAUGCUCCUCCUCCCCCGUUACAGACUCCAGCAACACCAAAUUUCGCAUUCUGGUAACUCUUUUAGGGGUAUUGAAGCAAAAGAAUGCGAAAUUUGGU